Strongylocentrotus purpuratus (purple sea urchin) is the source of this 47-nucleotide non-coding RNA. The record is from Rfam. Lineage: Eukaryota; Metazoa; Echinodermata; Echinoidea; Camarodonta; Strongylocentrotidae.
AAAACGGCUCUUUUCAGAGCCACCACAUACCUCCUCGCUUGGUUCCU